Molecule: ribosomal RNA, 459 nt
Filed under: uncultured bacterium
Lineage: Bacteria
Description: partial 16S ribosomal RNA
Rfam family: Bacterial small subunit ribosomal RNA
Source: RNAcentral
CCUACGGGUGGCAGCAGUGAGGAAUAUUGGUCAAUGGGCGCGAGCCUGAACCAGUCAAGUAGCGUGAAGGAUGACUGCCCUACGGGUUGUAAACUUCUUUUAUAAAGGAAUAAAGUGAGGCACGUGUGCCUUUUUGUAUGUACUUUAUGAAUAAGGAUCGGCUAACUCCGUGCCAGCAGCCGCGGUAAUACGGAGGAUCCGAGCGUUAUCCGGAUUUAUUGGGUUUAAAGGGUGCGUAGGCGGAAGGUUAAGUCAGCGGGAAAAUGUCGGUGCUCAACACCGGCCUGCCGUUGAAACUGGUAUUAUUGAGUGAGCGAGAAGUAUGCGGAAUGCGUGGUGUAGCGGUGAAAUGCAUAGAUAUCACGAAGAACUCCGAUUGCGAAGGCAGCAUACCGGCGCUCAACUGACGCUGAGGCACGAAAGCGUGGGGAUCGAACAGGAUUAGAUACCCUGGUAGUC